UUUUUAGGGUAAGUAUAUCCCAUGAUAUAUUUGGGAUAUACUUAUCCUUUAA
This 52-nucleotide microRNA precursor is filed under the name Equus asinus (donkey). RNAcentral describes it as "mir-1302 microRNA precursor family". It matches the Rfam family "mir-1302 microRNA precursor family". RNAcentral also lists the same sequence under 1 other name. Lineage: Eukaryota; Metazoa; Chordata; Mammalia; Perissodactyla; Equidae. The record is from Rfam by way of RNAcentral.